ACGGAGGAUCCGAGCGUUAUCCGGAUUUAUUGGGUUUAAAGGGUGCGCAGGCGGGUAUAUAAGUCAGAUGUGAAAAACCACGGCUCAACUGUGGUCCUGCCUUUGAUACUGUUUGGCUAGAGUAUUGUUGGAGUGGGCGGAAUGUAGGAUGUAGCGGUGAAAUGCUUAGAUAUGCUAAGGAACACCGAUCGUGAAGGCAGCUCCCUGAGCUAUAACUGACGCUCAGGCACGAAAGCAUGGGGAGCAAACAG
Molecule: ribosomal RNA, 251 nt
Filed under: uncultured prokaryote
Description: partial 16S rRNA
Rfam family: Bacterial small subunit ribosomal RNA
Source: RNAcentral